GUUACCAUCCUUCUCCUACCUUCCUCCUUCCCCUUCUGCAAGAUAGGACUCCAUGAAUCCUUGUACUGGUUGUAAUAGCCAUUGCUACUGAAGUACUUAGUAAUCUUGAUCGAGAGCUACGCCUUCCAUCGCUACUCUUACACCUCCCCCGUGCAAAUAAGCAGCUGCCGCCGAGUCUGCCUUGCCAAUACUCUCUGGAGAUGCAAAGCCUCCCAUGGGCGAUUACCCGAAGCGUCAGCAGAGUCGGCUCUGCUGCGCCUCGCUGGUGGCUUCCAGCUCUUGCCCGACGAGAUGCCCCUCCACUCAUGGAGUCAGUACCGUCUUAUCCAAAUCAACAUCUCUAUAAAAUUUUCCGUGAGUAGCAUAGUAAGCUGGAUUUGCCGUGCCUCUCCUUCUGUUCUGCUACUACACGAGGCAUGGAUAAAGCAGAGAGGAUGAAGGCAGCAGAGGAGAGCAAUCCCAUGGUAGAGACAAGUGCAAUACAAGAUGUGUAUUACCAGCCAAUCAUCCCGGGUAGCAGCCACCGUGAUGGUACUAUAUACAAGAAAAGGCUUGAAUGGGAAAGUGAAUACUGUGUAGAUGUUGACGACCGCACAGAAACUGGAGCCAGCAUCUUGGGACGAUAUGACAUGUGAGAUGAUGCAGAUUUUCUCCUUAAAGUUAGCUAAAUCUCCUAUCAACAGUGGCUCAAUGCAGUUAUAUGGAUACAUCGCGGCACGAGAUGAAUAUGAUUUAAGGCUUAAUUAUCUUUUCAAUCGUAGCAGAGAAGAUCCCAUCGUCGUGCAACAGGGUUUUCUCAUUCAAAUGACCGGACCUAAGAGAGGCAUUGCAUUUCACUGUGAUGUUCUACUUGAGUUUGGCAUGAGGAUCAAGAACGGAGAAAAUGAAGGAGAUGACACACAGUUGAUUGAUGGAAUGUCGGAAUUUCGUGGACUAUUAAUGCCAUGGGAACCAACUGAAAUUCCCAUUAAUGGUAAUUGUGCUACAGUUGAGAUGUCUGCUGCACUUGUUAGUAAUGCAAUUGCGGCCAUUGUAGAAGUUAUCAUAUCAGAAGCACAUGGUGAUUUUGAUCUAUCCCUCAGUUCCAUUGUUUCUGUUGUGGAGGAACAUGAAUUUCAGCUUUUUCAUGGCUCCGCUGGUGACUGGUGUGGUGUAAGGAGGUUUGUGAUUGCUGUCACAGUAAAUACUAUGUUGCAUUUGAAGUUCAUGCUUGGUCACAGAUGCUCCAACGGUAACAUUGAAGACACUUGUUCCUUCAAAGCCAAGCUAAACGGACACGCCAGCCAUCAAACAAAUUUGGAGGCUGCUUCUAUCUUGACGAAGGUGACAUGGGCGGCAUGGCCUCCUGAAAUGUUUUGUUGACUAGAUACUGAUUGUCUUUAUGUUGGAAUCGGGUACUGUUAUACCCGAUACCCGAUUCCUAUUUCAAUAAGUAGUAGAGACUGUUUUCUAGUAAGUUUGUUUUAUGCUUCGUUAUAUUCACAUCAGAUAUUGAUCCCAGAGGCAUUACGCAUGACAAAUGUGUAACAUCAAACCUGAUUCCUUGAAGUUUUGGCCAAUGUGCCCAUGACGAAUGCAGGGUUUAACUCUUAGAAAUUGUUGAUGUCAGCAAAGAUUUAAUUGAAAUUUAAAAUUCAAAAUGUUUUAUAGCUCA
This 1654-nucleotide ribosomal RNA is filed under the name Triticum aestivum (bread wheat). Its description in RNAcentral is "partial small subunit ribosomal RNA". Lineage: Eukaryota; Viridiplantae; Streptophyta; Magnoliopsida; Poales; Poaceae. The record is from RNAcentral.